This 470-nucleotide ribosomal RNA is filed under the name uncultured Acinetobacter sp. RNAcentral describes it as "bacterial SSU rRNA". It matches the Rfam family "Bacterial small subunit ribosomal RNA", at positions 335 to 796 of the family's 1533-position model. The record is from RNAcentral. Lineage: Bacteria; Pseudomonadati; Pseudomonadota; Gammaproteobacteria; Moraxellales; Moraxellaceae.
UUCCCUACGGGUGGCAGCAGUGGGGAAUAUUGGACAAUGGGCGCAAGCCUGAUCCAGCCAUGCCGCGUGUGUGAAGAAGGCCUUAUGGUUGUAAAGCACUUUAAGCGAGGAGGAGGCUACUUUAGUUAAUACCUAGAGAUAGUGGACGUUACUCGCAGAAUAAGCACCGGCUAACUCUGUGCCAGCAGCCGCGGUAAUACAGAGGGUGCAAGCGUUAAUCGGAUUUACUGGGCGUAAAGCGCGCGUAGGCAGCUAAUUAAGUCAAAUGUGAAAUCCCCGAGCUUAACUUGGGAAUUGCAUUCGAUACUGGUUAGCUAGAGUGUGGGAGAGGAUGGUAGAAUUCCAGGUGUAGCGGUGAAAUGCGUAGAGAUCUGGAGGAAUACCGAUGGCGAAGGCAGCCAUCUGGCCUAACACUGACGCUGAGGUGCGAAAGCAUGGGGAGCAAACAGGAUUAGAUACCCUUGUAGUCC